RNAcentral lists this ribosomal RNA (862 nucleotides) under uncultured Bacillus sp. RNAcentral's name for it is "bacterial SSU rRNA". It matches the Rfam family "Bacterial small subunit ribosomal RNA", at positions 505 to 1365 of the family's 1533-position model. Lineage: Bacteria; Bacillati; Bacillota; Bacilli; Caryophanales; Bacillaceae. The record is from RNAcentral.
GUGCCAGCAGCCGCGGUAAUACGUAGGUGGCAAGCGUUGUCCGGAAUUAUUGGGCGUAAAGCGCGCGCAGGCGGCCUUUUAAGUCUGAUGUGAAAGCCCCCGGCUCAACCGGGGAGGGUCAUUGGAAACUGGAAGGCUUGAGUGCAGAAGAGAAGAGCGGAAUUCCACGUGUAGCGGUGAGAUGCGUAGAGAUGUGGAGGAACACCAGUAGCGAAGGCGGCUCUUUGGUCUGUAACUGACGCUGAGGCGCGAAAGCGUGGGGAGCGAACAGGAUUAGAUACCCUGGUAGUCCACGCCGUAAACGAUGAGUGCUAAGUGUUGGGGGGUUUCCGCCCCUCAGUGCUGCAGCUAACGCAUUAAGCACUCCGCCUGGGGAGUACGGCCGCGAGGCUGAAACUCAAAGGAAUUGACGGGGGCCCGCACAAGCGGUGGAGCAUGUGGUUUAAUUCGAAGCAACGCGAAGAACCUUACCAGGUCUUGACAUCCCGCUGACCGCCCUGGAGACAGGGCUUCCCCUUCGGGGGCAGCGGUGACAGGUGGUGCAUGGUUGUCGUCAGCUCGUGUCGUGAGAUGUUGGGUUAAGUCCCGCAACGAGCGCAACCCUUGAUCUUAGUUGCCAGCAUUCAGUUGGGCACUCUAAGGUGACUGCCGGUGACAAACCGGAGGAAGGUGGGGAUGACGUCAAAUCAUCAUGCCCCUUAUGACCUGGGCUACACACGUGCUACAAUGGAUGGUACAAAGGGCUGCAAGACCGCGAGGUUUAGCCAAUCCCAUAAAACCAUUCUCAGUUCGGAUUGCAGGCUGCAACUCGCCUGCAUGAAGCUGGAAUCGCUAGUAAUCGCGGAUCAAAACGCCGCGGUGA